CUAAUAGCUGCUGGGGAGAGGCAGAGGCUUUCUUCAGGGGCACAGCCACUAGUCACCUCCAAUGCACCUAUAAAUAAUGCUAAUAAUUCAAUGAGUCACCAAAAGAAAAAAGACAGGGAGCACCAUAGUCUGGAAGAUGGCGGACAUCCCUGCAAGUGCAGUCCUCUCGGCCAUAGAAGAUGAAAGGUCGGUGGUAAAGACACAGAGAGAAAACGUUCACAAAUCUACCACAGGAGCCUCGGUCUGCUAAGGCUAGAAGCACAGCACAAACUCACAGUGGGGAAAGAAAACUGCGGCUGCACGUACCCCGGGAAGGAAGGUGAAGAAAUUGUACUUCUGGUUGUUGAUGACAUUUCGAGGGUAUCGCUGGUCCCUCUUCUCGGGGUGUCCCAAC
Molecule: non-coding RNA, 394 nt
Organism: Myodes glareolus (Bank vole)
Lineage: Eukaryota; Metazoa; Chordata; Mammalia; Rodentia; Cricetidae
Source: RefSeq, a predicted model, not a curated record